UGGUGGCGAGCGGCGGACGGGUGAGUAAUGCCUAGGAAUCUGCCUGGUAGUGGGGGAUAACGCUCGGAAACGGACGCUAAUACCGCAUACGUCCUACGGGAGAAAGCAGGGGACCUUCGGGCCUUGCGCUAUCAGAUGAGCCUAGGUCGGAUUAGCUAGUUGGUGAGGUAAUGGCUCACCAAGGCGACGAUCCGUAACUGGUCUGAGAGGAUGAUCAGUCACACUGGAACUGAGACACGGUCCAGACUCCUACGGGAGGCAGCAGUGGGGAAUAUUGGACAAUGGGCGAAAGCCUGAUCCAGCCAUGCCGCGUGUGUGAAGAAGGUCUUCGGAUUGUAAAGCACUUUAAGUUGGGAGGAAGGGCAGUUACCUAAUACGUGAUUGUUUUGACGUUACCGACAGAAUAAGCACCGGCUAACUCUGUGCCAGCAGCCGCGGUAAUACAGAGGGUGCAAGCGUUAAUCGGAAUUACUGGGCGUAAAGCGCGCGUAGGUGGUUUGUUAAGUUGGAUGUGAAAUCCCCGGGCUCAACCUGGGAACUGCAUCCAAAACUGGCAAGCUAGAGUAUGGUAGAGGGUGGUGGAAUUUCCUGUGUAGCGG
Molecule: ribosomal RNA, 599 nt
Filed under: Pseudomonas sp. EECC-266
Lineage: Bacteria; Pseudomonadati; Pseudomonadota; Gammaproteobacteria; Pseudomonadales; Pseudomonadaceae
Description: bacterial SSU rRNA
Rfam family: Bacterial small subunit ribosomal RNA
Source: RNAcentral